This 459-nucleotide ribosomal RNA is filed under the name Triticum aestivum (bread wheat). RNAcentral describes it as "partial small subunit ribosomal RNA". The record is from RNAcentral. Lineage: Eukaryota; Viridiplantae; Streptophyta; Magnoliopsida; Poales; Poaceae.
AUGCGCCGCCCUAUCCCGGAUGCCCGGCCCCGCUCCCCACCAGCGGGACGCCUGCUCCCCCGCGCCGCCGAGCCCCUGCUCCACAGGACACCAGCGGCCAUGGCGGGCGUCCCUCCACGCUGCCAGGACCCCCCGCGCGCCGUCGAAUCUCCCGGCUCCCCUGCUCCACCAGGACCAGCGGCCAUGGCGUUCAUCCCUCCUCCACCACCGCUAGUGGCCAUGGCGGUCCAGCACAACACCGACCACUCUCUCGUGUUGGAAAUCUUGACCUCUGACACUGCACGAGCGCGAGCACCCGAGCCACUCCGUCCUCGCCUCUGCUCCUCCCUACUUGCGAGCACCUUCGCAUCCAUGGUCGACCGCCUCCCAUCGUCCUCUACUCCGUCCCCCCCUUGGCUAGCUGGUGCCCGUGCCUCCUUGCCUUCCCGUCCUCCUCUGCUUCGGCCGCCUCUUGGCUAG